UCUUGAAGAGCUACGGACUUCUUUUGGUAAACCUUAGAUUGCUAACAAAAUUGAGGAUUAGCCAUCGAAAAACCGUUCCCACCUCCCUCUUAAAGAAAGUGCAAUCACAACAAUCUUAAUUUACAAGUCGAUGCACAUAAUGACUGACACGUAUGAGUAAUUCCAAAGAACUUACAAGAAAACACUACAACUAAUUAAUCCUGGGAAGCGACAGACUUUGAUCACAUCGCAUGAAGUACGAACUACAUAAUAAAUAAAUUCAAGCUUUCCGUGGUAUUCUCUUAGCACUGGCAGCUUCUAUUGAUUCCAGUUCUUCCACGACUUCAGCCAUGUAAGGCCGAAACUUAGGAUCCUUUUGGAGGCAUUUUAAGGCAAGCUGAGCUAUUUGGAAUGCAGAAUAUAU
This is a long non-coding RNA of Syzygium oleosum, 403 nucleotides long. RefSeq lists it as uncharacterized. The record is from RefSeq and is a predicted model, not a curated record. The transcript has 2 exons. Lineage: Eukaryota; Viridiplantae; Streptophyta; Magnoliopsida; Myrtales; Myrtaceae.